UCGUUGGAGGUGGUUGGCGGUGGUUGGAGAUGGUCGUGGGUGGACAAGGAGGACGAGAUAGACGAGGAGAACAAGGUGGACGAGGAGGACAAGGAUUUGUGAUCGGUAUAACCCGAGGUGGUUAGGAAUGGUCGUUGGAGGUGGUUGGCGGUGGUUGGAGAUGGUCGUGGGUGGACAAGGAGGACGAGAAAGACGAGGAGAACAAGGUGGACGAGGAGGACAAGGAUUUGUGAUCGGUAUAACCCGAGGUGGUUAGCAGUGGUCGUUGGACGUGGUUGGCGGUGGUUGGAGGUGAUCAAGCUGGAUGAGAUGGAUGAGGUGAACGAGGAGAACGGAGGUGGUCGGAGGUAGUAGGGGGUGUUAGGGUGUGGUAAGGGGUGGUAGGCAGGAGUAGUAGAAGUUGGAUUAGGAGUAGGAGUAAGAUUUGGA
Molecule: long non-coding RNA, 429 nt
Organism: Neodiprion fabricii
Lineage: Eukaryota; Metazoa; Arthropoda; Insecta; Hymenoptera; Diprionidae
Exons: 3
Source: RefSeq, a predicted model, not a curated record